RNAcentral lists this ribosomal RNA (457 nucleotides) under uncultured bacterium. RNAcentral's name for it is "bacterial SSU rRNA". It matches the Rfam family "Bacterial small subunit ribosomal RNA", at positions 29 to 521 of the family's 1533-position model. The record is from RNAcentral.
AACGAACGCUGGCGGCAUGCCUAACACAUGCAAGUCGAACGGGAUCCUGGCUUCGGCCAGGUGAGAGUGGCGGACGGGUGAGUAACGCGUGGGAACCUGCCCAUUGGUCUGGGAUAACUGCGGGAAACUGCAGCUAAUACCGGAUGUACCCGAGAGGGGAAAGAUUUAUCGCCGAUGGAGGGGCCCGCGUCAGAUUAGGUAGUUGGUGAGGUAACGGCUCACCAAGCCUACGAUCUGUAGCUGGUCUGAGAGGAUGAUCAGCCACACUGGGACUGGGACACGGCCCAGACUCCUACGGGAGGCAGCAGUGGGGAAUAUUGGACAAUGGGCGAAAGCCUGAUCCAGCAAUGCCGCGUGAGUGAUGAAGGCCUUAAGGUUGUAAAGCUCUUUUACCCGGGAUGAUAAUGACAGUACCGGGAGAAUAAGCCCCGGCUAACUCCGUGCCAGCAGCCGCGGU